GAUGAACGCUGGCGGCGUGCCUAAUACAUGCGAGUCGAGCGAACGGACGAGAAGCUUGCUUUUCUGAUGUUAGCGGCGGACGGGUGAGUAACACGUGGAUAACCUACCUAUAAGACUGGGAUAACUUCGGGAAACCGGAGCUAAUACCGGAUAAUAUUUUGAACCGCAUGGUUCAAAAGUGAAAGACGGUCUUGCUGUCACUUAUAGAUGGAUCCGCGCUGCAUUAGCUAGUUGGUAAGGUAACGGCUUACCAAGGCAACGAUGCAUAGCCGACCUGAGAGGGUGAUCGGCCACACUGGAACUGAGACACGGUCCAGACUCCUACGGGAGGCAGCAGUAGGGAAUCUUCCGCAAUGGGCGAAAGCCUGACGGAGCAACGCCGCGUGAGUGAUGAAGGUCUUCGGAUCGUAAAACUCUGUUAUUAGGGAAGAACAUAUGUGUAAGUAACUGUGAACAUCUUGACGGUACCUAAUCAGAAAGCCACGGCUAACUACGUG
Molecule: ribosomal RNA, 497 nt
Filed under: uncultured bacterium
Lineage: Bacteria
Description: partial 16S ribosomal RNA
Rfam family: Bacterial small subunit ribosomal RNA
Source: RNAcentral